RNAcentral lists this ribosomal RNA (492 nucleotides) under uncultured bacterium. Its description in RNAcentral is "partial 16S ribosomal RNA". It matches the Rfam family "Bacterial small subunit ribosomal RNA", at positions 29 to 507 of the family's 1533-position model. The record is from RNAcentral.
AGUGAACGCUGGCGGUAGGCCUAACACAUGCGAGUCGAACGGCAGCACAGUAAGAGCUUGCUCUUACGGGUGGCGAGUGGCGGACGGGUGAGGAAUACAUCGGAAUCUACUUUUUCGUGGGGGAUAACGUAGGGACACUUACGCUAAUACCGCAUACGACCUACGGGUGAAAGCAGGGGAUCUUCGGCCCUCGCGCGAUCGAAUGAGCCGAUGUCGGAUUAGCUAGUUGGCGGGGUAAAGGCCCACCAAGGCGACGAUCCGUAGCUGGUCUGAGAGGAUGAUCAGCCACACUGGAACUGAGACACGGUCCAGACUCCUACGGGAGGCAGCAGUGGGGAAUAUUGGACAAUGGGCGCAAGCCUGAUCCAGCCAUGCCGCGUGGGUGAAGAAGGCCUUCGGGUUGUAAAGCCCUUUUGUUGGGAAAGAAAAGCAGCAGGUUAAUACCCCGCCGUUCUGACGGUACCCAAAGAAUAAGCACCGGCUAACUUCGUG